GACGAACGCUGGCGGCGUGCUUAACACAUGCAAGUCGAACGGAAAGGCCUCUUUCGGGGGGUACUCGAGUGGCGAACGGGUGAGUAACACGUGAGUAACCUGCCCUUGACUUUGGGAUAACUUCAGGAAACUGGGGCUAAUACCGGAUAGGAGCUCCUGCUGCAUGGUGGGGGUUGGAAAGUUUCGGCGGUUGGGGAUGGACUCGCGGCUUGUCAGCUUGUUGGUGGGGUAGUGGCUUACCAAGGCUUUGACGGGUAGCCGGCCUGAGAGGGUGACCGGCCACAUUGGGAUUGAGAUACGGCCCAGACUCCUACGGGAGGCAGCAGUGGGGAAUAUUGCACAAUGGGUGGAAGCCUGAUGCAGCAACGCCGUGUGCGGGAUGACGGCCUUCGGGUUGUAAACCGCUUUCGCUCAUGACGAAGCUUUGUGUGACGGUAGUGGGUAAAGAAGCACCGGCUAACUACGUG
RNAcentral lists this ribosomal RNA (467 nucleotides) under uncultured bacterium. RNAcentral's name for it is "partial 16S ribosomal RNA". It matches the Rfam family "Bacterial small subunit ribosomal RNA", at positions 28 to 507 of the family's 1533-position model. The record is from RNAcentral.